This 138-nucleotide ribosomal RNA is filed under the name uncultured eukaryote. RNAcentral's name for it is "partial 18S ribosomal RNA". It matches the Rfam family "Eukaryotic small subunit ribosomal RNA", at positions 1299 to 1458 of the family's 1831-position model. The record is from RNAcentral.
UGGUGGAGCGAUUUGUCUGGUUAAUUCCGAUAACGAACGAGGCUCUGGCCUAUUAAAUAGUUCGCCGAUUCCGAUCUGUCGGCGUUAACUUCUUAGAGGGACAAGUGGCUUUUAGCCACGCGAGAUUGAGCAAUAACA